AGUGAACGCUGGCGGUAGGCCUAACACAUGCAAGCCGAGCGGCAGCACAGUAAGAGCUUGCUCUUACGGGUGGCGAGUGGCGGACGGGUGAGGAAUACAUCGGAAUCUACUUUUUCGUGGGGGAUAACGUAGGGAAACUUACGCUAAUACCGCAUACGACCUACGGGUGAAAGCAGGGAAUCUUCGGACCUUGCGCGAUUGAAUGAGCCGAUGUGGGUUUAGCUAGUUGGCGGGGUAAAGGCCCACCAAGGCGACGAUCCGUAGCUGGUCUGAGAGGAUGGUAGCCGGCACUAGAACUGGAACACGGACCAUGCUCCUGAGGGAGGGAGCAGUGGGGAACGUUGGACAAUGGGGGGAAGCCUGAUCCAGCCGGACCGCGUGGGUGACGGAGGCCUUCGGGUUGUAAAGCCCUUUUGUUGGGAAAGAAAAGCAGCAGGUUAAUACCCCGCUGUUCUGACGGUACCCAAAGAAUAAGCACCGGCUAACUUCGUG
Molecule: ribosomal RNA, 492 nt
Filed under: uncultured bacterium
Lineage: Bacteria
Description: partial 16S ribosomal RNA
Rfam family: Bacterial small subunit ribosomal RNA
Source: RNAcentral